UUGGGGGCUCGAAGACGAUCA
This 21-nucleotide non-coding RNA is filed under the name Arabidopsis thaliana (thale cress). Lineage: Eukaryota; Viridiplantae; Streptophyta; Magnoliopsida; Brassicales; Brassicaceae. The record is from RNAcentral.